CUUAUUUAUUCCGACAAUGACCGAAUUUUGUAUUUGCAACGACAGGGGGAUGUGUCUACAUUAAUAGGCUGUGUAAACGGCAAGCUAUACAUACAUUAUCCAAUACGCCCCUCGUCCUGAACAUUCUUGAAAUAUUUGCCACUGGACGUUGAGCAACCAACAACUAUUCCAAUAGGCCCGAAUUGUUAAAAAAUCAUUUAAAGGAAAUAAAGUAUUUUGUGACACCUAAAUAACCUUUUAAGCAAUUAUUACUAUGUCAGUCUUCUAAAUUUAGAAACAGUCACAUAUGACUACCGGUGAAGUAAAAGCCUAUCGCAUUAUAUGUUAUAUCAUAUCAAACUAGAUUUUCCAAAAAAGACUUGUUUUUAACAUUAGUACAUGCCCUUCAACAUUUCUCUUUUGUUCCAUCGUACUUUAGCGUGCUACACCAUCGCAUUUUAGCAAACAAACAACCAUCGUACUUUAGCGUGAGAUACCAUCGUACUUUAGCGUAGACCAUCGCACUUUAGCGUGACCAUCGCACUUUAGAGUACCAUCGCACUUUAGAGUCCUAC
RNAcentral lists this long non-coding RNA (554 nucleotides) under Mytilus galloprovincialis (Mediterranean mussel). Lineage: Eukaryota; Metazoa; Mollusca; Bivalvia; Mytilida; Mytilidae. The record is from RNAcentral.